Molecule: ribosomal RNA, 497 nt
Filed under: uncultured bacterium
Lineage: Bacteria
Description: partial 16S ribosomal RNA
Rfam family: Bacterial small subunit ribosomal RNA
Source: RNAcentral
GAUGAACGCUGGCGGCGUGCCUAAUACAUGCAAGUCGAGCGAACGGACGAGAAGCUUGCUUCUCUGAUGUUAGCGGCGGACGGGUGAGUAACACGUGGAUAACCUACCUAUAAGACUGGGAUAACUUCGGGAAACCGGAGCUAAUACCGGAUAAUAUUUUGAACCGCAUGGUUCAAAAGUGAAAGACGGUCUUGCUGUCACUUAUAGAUGGAUCCGCGCUGCAUUAGCUAGUUGGUAAGGUAACGGCUUACCAAGGCAACGAUGCAUAGCCGACCUGAGAGGGUGGUAGCCAACACGGGAACGGGGACCGGGCCCACACUCCUACGGGGGGCAGCAGGAGGGAAUCUUCCGCAAUGGGAGAAGGCCUGAGGGAGCAACGCCGGGGGGGUGAUGAGGGUCUUCGGAUCUUAAAACUCUUUUAUUGGGGAAGAACAUAUUUGUAAGUACCUGUGCACAUCUUGACGUUCCCAAAUCAAAAACCCCCGGCAAACUACGUC